RNAcentral lists this ribosomal RNA (556 nucleotides) under Ditylum brightwellii. Its description in RNAcentral is "LSU rRNA". It matches the Rfam family "Eukaryotic large subunit ribosomal RNA", at positions 74 to 630 of the family's 3401-position model. The record is from RNAcentral. Lineage: Eukaryota; Bacillariophyta; Thalassiosirophyceae; Lithodesmiales; Lithodesmiaceae.
AUUCCCCCAGUAAGGGCGACUGAAAAGGGAAGAGCUCACCGUGUGAAUCUGCGCAUACCGUGCAAGCGGGCGCGCCGAAUUGUGGUCUGGAGAGACAUUGUCGACCGUGGUUCUGGGCCAAGUCCCUUGGAAAAGGGCAGCUGAGAGGGUGAAACUCCCGUUCUUGCCUGGGAUUUGCGUGUCAUGGCACGUGUUCUCAAAGAGUCGAGUUGCUUGGGAUUGCAGCUCAAAGUGGGUGGUAAAUUCCAUCUAAAGCUAAAUAUUGGUGGGAGACCGAUAGCGCACAAGUACCGUGAGGGAAAGAUGCAAAGAACUUUGAAAAGAGAGUUAAAGAGUACCUGAAAUUGCUGAAAGGGAAGCAAAGGAAACCAGUGCGUUGUGCGUGUCAUAUUUCUCCUGCUGCUUGCGGUGGGGGCGCUGUGGCCGUGCGUAGCGUCAGCAUCGGUUCGUACUUCGGAGCAAACGGUGUGGCGGAGGUUAUUCCAUUACGGGAUGAAUGACAGCCGCUCUAAGUUCUGGAGGGGACCGAGGUUAGUCACAUGCUCGUGAUGCUGGC